GAUAAAUUUGAUUAACUUAUCAUCUAUGGUUCUUAUCUAUUAAUCUCGCUUUAAGACAAAUGGGUGUGAGUCUCCAUUCUCAUAUAAUAUUAAAUUUAAAGGUGUCGAACUCAAUUUGGUAGUUAGGACACUUAAUUUGAUCCUUGAAGAACUAAUUAUGCAAUGUCAGCCAUUAGAAUGCUACUUGCUCCUUUGUACUAGUGUAGUGGCUCAGCUGCCAUAGUGUUUCCCUUCCUUGCUGGUAUUCCUUACUCGGAUUCGACUUGAAAUGAGGAUCAGGGUUCUCGCUAGAUAUGUAUGAUUCACCCGGUACCUGUUAUUGGUAGUAGCAUCAGUCUCUUUCCACUCCCUCUUCUGUCUGAGUUGAGACUUGAAAGGAAGUCUACUAAAUGUAGGGAUACUCCACCUGACAAUGGUAGUCUUAUUUCAAUAAUGCUUUUUUUGGUUACCUCUGUUAACUGGAUUGGUGACGAAAAACUCAACUAAGAUUCAUGGUUAUAAAGCUUAGGACCAAAUUGAUCAUGUUUAAAACCAAGGGACUAAACUUACUAUGAAGUAAAACUUCAGAAAUCAAAUUGAGUCUUCUCUCAUUAUUCUGCUUUCUUUUUCUUUAAGGAUUUGUAGUAGUACAUAGUUAUGACUGAUUUGUAUUCGGUGGAGGUUAAAAAAGAUAUCUUAGAUUGAGUUUGGAUUCUGUGUCAGAAAUAGAAAGACACAGAUACCAAUACUUUCUGUCUCUACUAUUAGGAAGUUGUACAAUUUUGUGUUUCUAUAAUGAAGACUUUCUGUGUACAGAUUUUCUGUCCAAAUAUUGUCUUAAUAUGUUAACAUUUGUUAAUGCUAUCCUCAAAUGUGAACGAGUGUGCAUCUAUGUGAACUUUUUCGGUCUUCAUAAUCAUUCAAACCAGCUAUAUAACAUUUGUUCUUUUUUUUUUGGAGGGAGAGAGAAAAGGGGGGGUUGAUCAUCACCACACAUUUUCCAUUGUUGUUGCUGCAUGAUAAAACAACCAUAACUUAAAUGUGGAAUGUUUCAAAAGAAAUCAGAGAUAGAGACGUUCGAUGGAUGUCAAAGCAGGCAUUUGGUUUGGGUGUCUUACAUCCAGAAAGGAGGGAAUCCAAACCAAGGGUAUCGAAACCAAUCAAUCUAUUGUAUAUUCUUAAAAUAGUGUUUGCUUUUAUUUUUAUUUUUGUACUUGGUGCAAUUUUUACACUGUUUCUUGAUUAUCUUCCUGAACUGAUAUUGUUUGUCAAGUAAUACUGUAGUGCUUUUUCAAUGCCUGAAACUGGUUCAUUCCCAUGA
This is a non-coding RNA of Arachis ipaensis, 1300 nucleotides long. Lineage: Eukaryota; Viridiplantae; Streptophyta; Magnoliopsida; Fabales; Fabaceae. The record is from RefSeq and is a predicted model, not a curated record.